Non-coding RNA from Peromyscus maniculatus bairdii (prairie deer mouse), 685 nucleotides. Lineage: Eukaryota; Metazoa; Chordata; Mammalia; Rodentia; Cricetidae. The record is from RefSeq and is a predicted model, not a curated record.
AGAGGAUGUCAGAUCCCCUGGAACUAGAAUUACAGGUGGUUGUAAGCCGCCUGACCUGAGUACUAGGAACUGUGUUUGGAUCCUCUGCAGGAGCAGCUUUUCAACUUUUACACCCUCUUUCUAUCUCACCACUUUCUAUCUGAGACAGGGCCUCUCACUUGCUUGGAACCUGCUGCUCAGGGCAGGCUGCACCUCUGGAGGGCUGGGAUAAAGUGCAGGCCACCGUCAAUGCACCAUGCCCACGAACCCGGCAAAUCCAGUCAUCUCUUCAGCACACACAGCAAGCACUUCACAGGGAAAGAAGAACAAGUGCGAAAAGACGCUUGUCUCAGUACAAAUCACAGAGAAUGCUCAGAGUUGCUGAAGACAAGUUCCUAAAGAAAAUUACUAUCUGAUUAGAAGCAGACUUCCUGGAUAAGAUAGUGUACCAUGUGUGUGCUUGGUGCCUGUGGAGGCCUGAAGAGGGUGACAGAUCCCCUAGACCUGGAGCUAUAGAUGGCAUUGAGCCAAAUUUGAAAUUGGGCUACAAAUCACCCACGCCUUCUCCUUCCUCUCCUCCUUCCCUGCUUUCUUUUCUGUUUGGAGCUGGAGACUGAACCCCUAGCCUCGAGUGUCCUAGCUGUAACCCCAGCACCAUUUUUAAAUUAGAGGCUUCAAAGCAGGAAACACAUGUGGAAACACAUUA